This 624-nucleotide ribosomal RNA is filed under the name uncultured bacterium. RNAcentral's name for it is "bacterial SSU rRNA". The stretch from base 1 to 538 matches the Rfam family "Bacterial small subunit ribosomal RNA", at positions 338 to 873 of the family's 1533-position model. The record is from RNAcentral.
CCUACGGGAGGCAGCAGUGGGGAAUUUUGGACAAUGGGCGAAAGCCUGAUCCAGCAAUGCCGCGUGAGUGAAGAAGGCCUUCGGGUUGUAAAGCUCUUUUGUCAGGGAAGAAACGGUGAAAGCUAAUAUCUUUUGCUAAUGACGGUACCUGAAGAAUAAGCACCGGCUAACUACGUGCCAGCAGCCGCGGUAAUACGUAGGGUGCAAGCGUUAAUCGGAAUUACUGGGCGUAAAGCGUGCGCAGGCGGUUUUGAAGUCUGAUGUGAAAUCCCCGGGCUCAACCUGGGAAUUGCAUUGGAGACUGCAAGGCUAGAAUCUGGCAGAGGGGGGUAGAAUUCCACGUGUAGCAGUGAAAUGCGUAGAUAUGUGGAGGAACACCGAUGGCGAAGGCAGCCCCCUGGGUCAAGAUUGACGCUCAUGCACGAAAGCGUGGGGAGCAAACAGGAUUAGAUACCCUGGUAGUCCACGCCCUAAACGAUGUCUACUAGUUNUCGGGUCUUAAUUGACUUGGUAACGCNGCUACGCGUGAGUAGACGCCGUCGGAGGUACGGUCGCGAGAGUAAACGUUAAAGUAGUAAGUUAGUAGACGUGAGAGUAGACGACGGACGACGACGAGGGAGGAGG